Molecule: ribosomal RNA, 784 nt
Filed under: uncultured Planktomarina sp.
Lineage: Bacteria; Pseudomonadati; Pseudomonadota; Alphaproteobacteria; Rhodobacterales; Paracoccaceae
Description: bacterial SSU rRNA
Rfam family: Bacterial small subunit ribosomal RNA
Source: RNAcentral
CGCUGGCGGCAGGCCUAAUACAUGCAAGUCGAGCGCGCCCUUCGGGGUGAGCGGCGGACGGGUGAGUAACGCGUGGGAAUAUGCCCUUCUCUAAGGAAUAGCCUCUGGAAACGGAGAGUAAUACCUUAUACGCCCUUUGGGGGAAAGAUUUAUCGGAGAAGGAUUAGCCCGCGUUAGAUUAGGUAGUUGGUGGGGUAAUGGCCUACCAAGCCUACGAUCUAUAGCUGGUUUGAGAGGAUGAUCAGCCACACUGGGACUGAGACACGGCCCAGACUCCUACGGGAGGCAGCAGUAGGGAAUCUUAGACAAUGGGGGCAACCCUGAUCUAGCCAUGCCGCGUGUGUGAUGAAGGCCCUAGGGUCGUAAAGCACUUUCGCCAGAGAUGAUAAUGACAGUAUCUGGUAAAGAAACCCCGGCUAACUCCGUGCCAGCAGCCGCGGUAAUACGGAGGGGGUUAGCGUUGUUCGGAAUUACUGGGCGUAAAGCGCACGUAGGCGGAUUAGUAAGUUAGAGGUGAAAUCCCAGGGCUCAACCCUGGAACUGCCUUUAAUACUGCUAGUCUUGAGUUCGAGAGAGGUAAGUGGAAUUCCGAGUGUAGAGGUGAAAUUCGUAGAUAUUCGGAGGAACACCAGUGGCGAAGGCGGCUUACUGGCUCGAUACUGACGCUGAGGUGCGAAAGUGUGGGGAGCAAACAGGAUUAGAUACCCUGGUAGUCCACACCGUAAACGAUGAAUGCCAGACGUCAGCAAGUAUACUUGUUGGUGUCACACCUAACGGAUUAAGC